GACUAAGCGUACACGGUGGAUGCCCUGGCAGUCAGAGGCGAUGAAGGGCGUACUAAUCUGCGAUAAGCGCCGGUAAGGUGAUAUGAACCGUUAUAACCGGCGAUACCCGAAUGGGGAAACCCAGUGUGAUUCGUCACACUAUCAUUAACUGAAUCCAUAGGUUAAUGAGGCGAACCGGGGGAACUGAAACAUCUAAGUACCCCGAGGAAAAGAAAUCAACCGAGAUUCCCCCAGUAGCGGCGAGCGAACGGGGAGGAGCCCAGAGCCUGAAUCAGCAUGUGUGUUAGUGGAAGCGUCUGGAAAGGCGCGCGAUACAGGGUGACAGCCCCGUACACAAAAGCGCAUGUGCUGUGAGCUCGAUGAGUAGGGCGGGACACGUGGUAUCCUGUCUGAAUAUGGGGGGACCAUCCUCCAAGGCUAAAUACUCCUGACUGACCGAUAGUGAACCAGUACCGUGAGGGAAAGGCGAAAAGAACCCCGGCGAGGGGAGUGAAAAAGAACCUGAAACCGUGUACGUACAAGCAGUGGGAGCACAGGUUUACCUGUGUGACUGCGUACCUUUUGUAUAAUGGGUCAGCGACUUAUAUUCUGUAGCAAGGUUAACCGAAUAGGGGAGC
RNAcentral lists this ribosomal RNA (617 nucleotides) under Salmonella enterica subsp. enterica serovar Enteritidis. RNAcentral's name for it is "partial 23S ribosomal RNA". It matches the Rfam family "Bacterial large subunit ribosomal RNA", at positions 1 to 666 of the family's 2925-position model. Lineage: Bacteria; Pseudomonadati; Pseudomonadota; Gammaproteobacteria; Enterobacterales; Enterobacteriaceae. The record is from RNAcentral.